This 473-nucleotide long non-coding RNA is filed under the name Physcomitrium patens. RNAcentral's name for it is "long non-coding RNA (PPAT_LNC007573)". Lineage: Eukaryota; Viridiplantae; Streptophyta; Bryopsida; Funariales; Funariaceae. The record is from RNAcentral.
GUCAGGGUUAAGCUUGGUGCUACCUCUUUGUUUUUCUUUGUUAUUGAAGAGUAAUGGAUAGUUUUUGAAUAUUGAAAAAUGAGUCUGUGGAAUAAAUCAGAGAUUGAUUUAUGAGUUAUUGAUUAUGUAAUUGGAGCACUGAAUGAUUGAAUUAUAUGAAGAAUUAUUAGAAGAUUAUAAUUAUUGUUUAUUGAGAGCUGUGUGUAUUUUGAACAAAGGAAGUUGGUGAUUACAAAAAUUAUGUGAAUUCAGAUUAGUUGGAGUGAAGUCUAUUAAUUCUAGUGUUGGAUGGAAAUUAUGUAUUUUGAGCGGUCUUUUGAGAGUGCAAGGUUGCAUACUAUUGUUAUGACUUGAUGAAGGAGUAUUGUUACAGAGAGAAAGCAUUGUAAUAUUUCUUGGUAUUUUAGUGGUUUGAAAUACGAUUAAUUGUAUGACCCUAACAAGUAAACUCAUGUAUUUAAUCUUUCCCUGUA